This 401-nucleotide ribosomal RNA is filed under the name uncultured bacterium. RNAcentral's name for it is "bacterial SSU rRNA". It matches the Rfam family "Bacterial small subunit ribosomal RNA", at positions 356 to 774 of the family's 1533-position model. The record is from RNAcentral.
CGGGAAUUUUGGGCAAUGGGCGAAAGCCUGACCCAGCAACGCCGCGUGAGGGAUGAAGUAUUUCGGUAUGUAAACCUCGAAAGAAUGGGAAGAAUAAAUGACGGUACCAUUUAUAAGCUCCGGCUAACUACGUGCCAGCAGCCGCGGUAAUACGUAGGGAGCAAGCGUUGUUCGGAUUUACUGGGCGUAAAGGGCGCGUAGGCGGCGCGGUAAGUCACUUGUGAAAUCUCUGAGCUUAACUCAGAACGGCCAAGUGAUACUGCUGUGCUAGAGUGCGGAAGAGGCAACCGGAAUUCUUGGUGUGGCGGUGAAAUGCGUAGAUAUCAAGAGGAACACCUGAGGCGAAGGCGGGUCGCUGGGCCGACACUGACGCUGAUGCGCGAAAGCCAGGGGAGCAAACG